GGCCAUACUGGGAGGCCCUGGGUCAUACUGGGAGGCACGGGGUCAUACUGGGAGGAACUGGGAGGCACUGGGUCAUACUGGGAAGCACUGGGAGGCACUGGGUCAUACUGGGAGGCACUGUGUCAUACUGGGAGGCACUGGGUCCUACUGGGAGACACGGGGUCCUACUGGGAGGCAGUGGGUCCUACUGGGAGGCACUGGGAGGCACCAGGCCAUACUGGGAGGCACUGGGAGGCACUGUGUCAUACUGGGAGGCACUGGGCCAUACUGGGAGGCACUGGGCGGCACUGUGUCAUACUGGUCCCCCCCCCGGUUCCGCUGCGGCGGCCCAGAAGGAGGAGCGUUACAAACGGCACCGGCAGAAGCCACGGCACCGCGAGCGGAACCGGCACCAGGAGCGCUGCGACGCCCGCGACCCCGCGGGUUUGGGCCAAUGCCUGGGGCCCGGCUGCACCCGGCCCGCGCGCCCGCCUUCCAAGUACUGCAGCGAGGCCUGCGGGGUCAAACUGGCCGCCAAGUGAGUCGGGGGGGGGCGGCGCUGGGCACCACUGGGCACCAUUGGGCACCAUUGGGCACCAUUGGGCAGCAGGAUGCACCAUUGGGCACCACGAUGCACCAUUGGGCACCAGGAUGCACCACGAUGCACCAUUGGGCACCACGAUGCACCACGAUGCACCGUUGGGCACUAGGAUGCACCAGGAUGCACCACGAUGCACCACUGGGCACCACAAUGCACCAGGAUGCACCACUGGGCACCAUUGGGCACCACGAUGCACCAUUGGGCACCAGGAUGCACCAUUGGGCACCACUGGGCGCCAUUGGGCACCAUUGGGCACCAGGAUGCACCAUUGGGCACCAGGAUGCACCACUGGGCACCAUUGGGCACCACUGGGCACCACGAUGCAGCAUUGGGCACCACUGGGCACCACUGGGCACCACUGGGUACCACUGGGCACCACUGGGCACCAUUGGGCACCAGGAUGCACCAUUGGGCACCAGGAUGCACCACUGGGCACCAGUGGGUACCAUUGGGCACCAGGAUGUAUCAUUGGGCACCAUUGGGCACCAUUGGGCACCAUUGGGCACCACGAUGCACCAUUGGGCACCAGGAUGCACCAUUGGGUACCAUUGGGCACCACUGGGCACCAGGAUGCACCACUGGGCACCAUUGGGCACCAGGAUGCACCAGGAUGCACCAUUGGGCACCACGAUGCACCAUUGGGCACCAGGAUGCGCCACUGGGCACCAGGAUGCACCAUUGGGCACUAGGAUGCACUAUUGACCUUUCAGAGCGGAUCCCAAAGUGGAUCCCCACCAGAUCCCAGGGAUCCCGUACUCCUGCUAUCCUAUGGGGUGCUGUAGGGUGACCGGGAUCCCUCAAGGUCCCCUUAUUGCCCCUAUAUCUGCUAUGGAUCCCAACCUGACCUUCCAUGUGCAUCCCAGAGUGGAUCCCAGAGCGGAUCCCCACCAGAUCCCAGGGAUCCCAAGGCCCUGUUAUCCCACAGGAUGCUGUAUGGUACCCAGGACCUCUCAACGUUCCCCUACUGACCCUAAAUCUGCCCCAGAUCCCAACUGAUCCCACAGCAGAUCCCAUCCCAGAGCGGAUCCCCACCAGAUCCCCACGAUCCCAAAUCCUUGCUAUCUUCUAGGCUCUGUAGGAUGACUGGGAUCCCUCAGGCUGCCCCUAUGUCUGCUAUGGAUCCCAAUCUCAUGUUCCAUGUGGAUCCCAGAGCGGAUCCCAAAGCAGAUCCCCACCAGAUCCCAGGAAUCCCAAAUCCCUGCUACCUUACAGCCUCUAUAGGAUAACUGAGAUCUCUCAGGCUGUUCCUAUAUCUGCUAUGGAUCCCAACCUGACCUUCCAUGUGGAUCCCAAAGCGGAUCCCAAAGCAGAUCCCCACCAGAUCCCAGGGAUCCCAAAUCCCUGCUAUCUUAUAGGCUCUGUAGGAUGAUUGGGAUCCAUUAGGGUGCCCCUUUUGCCCCUAUAUCUGCUAUGGAUCCCAAUCUCAUGUUCCAUGUAGAUCGCAGAGUGGAUCCCAAAGCGGAUCCCCACCAGAUCCCAGAGAUCCCAAAUCCCUGCUACCUUACAGCCUCUAUAGGAUAACUGAGAUCUCUCGGGCUGCUCCUAUAUCUGCUAUGGAUCCCAACCUGACCUUCCACGUGGAUCCCAGAGCGGAUCCCAAAGUGGAUCCCCACCAGAUCCCAGGGAUCCCAAAUCCCUGCUACCUUACAGCCUCUAUAGGAUAACUGAGAUCUCUCGGGCUGCCCCUAUAUCUGCUAUGGAU
Long non-coding RNA from Phasianus colchicus (ring-necked pheasant), 2282 nucleotides. NCBI's taxonomy places the organism in Eukaryota, Metazoa, Chordata, Aves, Galliformes, Phasianidae. The record is from Ensembl.